RNAcentral lists this ribosomal RNA (328 nucleotides) under uncultured eukaryote. Its description in RNAcentral is "partial 18S ribosomal RNA". It matches the Rfam family "Eukaryotic small subunit ribosomal RNA", at positions 1470 to 1796 of the family's 1831-position model. The record is from RNAcentral.
CCCUUAGAUGUCCUGGGCUGCACGCGCGCUACACUGAUGCGCUCAACGAGUUUACGAUCUUGCCUGAAAUGGCUGGGUAAUCUUUUUAAAAUGCAUCGUGAUGGGGAUAGAUCAUUACAAUUAUUGAUCUUCAACGAGGAAUUCCUAGUAAGCGCGAGUCAUCAGCUCGUGCUGAUUACGUCCCUGCCCUUUGUACACACCGCCCGUCGCUCCUACCGAUUGAGUGGUCCGGUGAGGCUUUGGGAUCUAAGCGAAAAGAGCGUUUCGCCCCUUUCGCUGGGAGAACUCAGUCGAACCUUAUCAUUUAGAGGAAGGAGAAGUCGUAACA